Molecule: ribosomal RNA, 449 nt
Filed under: uncultured bacterium
Lineage: Bacteria
Description: partial 16S ribosomal RNA
Rfam family: Bacterial small subunit ribosomal RNA
Source: RNAcentral
AACGGACGCUGGCGGCAUGCCUAACACAUGCAAGUCGAACGAGAUCUUCGGGUCUAGUGGCGCACGGGUGCGUAACGCGUGGGAAUCUGCCCUUUGGUUCGGAAUAACAGUUGGAAACGACUGCUAAUACCGGAUGAUGACGAAAGUCCAAAGAUUUAUCGCAAGAGGAUGAGCCCGCGUAGGAUUAGCUAGUUGGUGUGGUAAAGGCGCACCAAGGCGACGAUCCUUAGCUGGUCUGAGAGGAUGAUCAGCCACACUGGGACUGAGACACGGCCCAGACUCCUACGGGAGGCAGCAGUGGGGAAUAUUGGACAAUGGGCGAAAGCCUGAUCCAGCAAUGCCGCGUGAGUGAUGAAGGCCUUAGGGUUGUAAAGCUCUUUUACCCGGGAUGAUAAUGACAGUACCGGGAGAAUAAGCUCCGGCUAACUCCGUGCCAGCCGCCGCAGUAA